This 497-nucleotide ribosomal RNA is filed under the name uncultured bacterium. Its description in RNAcentral is "partial 16S ribosomal RNA". It matches the Rfam family "Bacterial small subunit ribosomal RNA", at positions 28 to 507 of the family's 1533-position model. The record is from RNAcentral.
GAUGAACGCUGGCGGCGUGCCUAAUACAUGCAAGUCGAGCGAACAGACGCGGAGCUUGCUCCUCUGACGUUAGCGGCGGACGGGUGAGUAACACGUGGAUAACCUACCUAUAAGACUGGGAUAACCUCGGGACACCGGAGCUAAUACCGGAGAAUAUCUUGAACCGUAUGGUUCAAUAGUGAAAGACGGUUUUGCUGUAACUUCUCGAUGGAUCCGCGCCGCAUUAGCUAGUUGGUAAGGUAACGGCUUACCAAGGCGACGAUGCGUAGCCGACCUGAGAGGGUGAUCGGCCACACGAGAGCUGAGACACGGUCCAGAGUCCUACGAGAGGCAGCAGUAGGCAAUGUUCCGCAGUGGGCGAAAGCCUGACGGAGCAACGCCGCGUGAGUGAUGAAGGUCUUCGGAGCGUAAUACUCUGUUAUUAGGGAAGAACAAAUGUGUAAGGAACUAUGCACGGCUUGACGGUACCGAGUCAGAAAGCCACGGCUAACUACGUG